This is a non-coding RNA of Podarcis lilfordi (Lilford's wall lizard), 661 nucleotides long. Lineage: Eukaryota; Metazoa; Chordata; Lepidosauria; Squamata; Lacertidae. The record is from the annotation of a GenBank genome assembly.
CGGCAGGAAGCGGCUGGCAAAGACUAGGCCCUCUAGACUCAAGAGAAAUGUAGACUGAACUCGCCGGCCGGCUUCCGGGGUCCGUAGAAAGAAACGCGCAAAACGCAUGACGUUUCAAUUACCCAGCUUGCAAAAUGUUUAAAUGGGUUUAAAUUUAAGCGGGUUUCUGGGGUUUAAAUGGGUUUAAGCGGGUUUCUGGCGUUAACAGGACGUUGCUUCUCUCUCUCCCCCAGAGCAAAAGUGGGGAAUUGCCCGUUUUAUUUUGAUUAUUUUGCGCUUUUAGAUUGUGUUUUUAUCCUGAGACCUGCAGGUAUAGGGUGGUGUAAUAAUAAUAAUAAUAAUAAUAAAAACAAAAAACAAAAAUGUUAAGGUGCCUUUUCCUGACUCCUUUUUUUUUUUUAGCGGGGGAGAGAGGUUUGGUGUUCCAGUUCAGUCCAGCAGUUAUUAAAGUGUUGGAGCCGGAGCUGCUUCCUCAGCCUGGGUUGUGACUGAAAGGUCUUGCUGGCAACGAGAGAAAGAAAAAUCAAACUCUGCAUCUGCUGUCCUCUGCUGUUUCUUCAACAAGCUCUGCCUUAAGAGUUCAGAUGCAAUAGGUUUUUUAAAUAUAAAUUAUAUAUGUGUGUGUGUAAAAUCAUUUUAACAUUUCAAAACAACAUCCUUC